This 1212-nucleotide ribosomal RNA is filed under the name Microbacterium paraoxydans. RNAcentral describes it as "bacterial SSU rRNA". It matches the Rfam family "Bacterial small subunit ribosomal RNA", at positions 67 to 1287 of the family's 1533-position model. The record is from RNAcentral. Lineage: Bacteria; Bacillati; Actinomycetota; Actinomycetes; Micrococcales; Microbacteriaceae.
CGGUGAACACGGAGCUUGCUCUGUGGGAUCAGUGGCGAACGGGUGAGUAACACGUGAGCAACCUGCCCCUGACUCUGGGAUAAGCGCUGGAAACGGCGUCUAAUACUGGAUAUGUGACGUGACCGCAUGGUCUGCGUUUGGAAAGAUUUUUCGGUUGGGGAUGGGCUCGCGGCCUAUCAGCUUGUUGGUGAGGUAAUGGCUCACCAAGGCGUCGACGGGUAGCCGGCCUGAGAGGGUGACCGGCCACACUGGGACUGAGACACGGCCCAGACUCCUACGGGAGGCAGCAGUGGGGAAUAUUGCACAAUGGGCGGAAGCCUGAUGCAGCAACGCCGCGUGAGGGAUGACGGCCUUCGGGUUGUAAACCUCUUUUAGCAGGGAAGAAGCGAAAGUGACGGUACCUGCAGAAAAAGCGCCGGCUAACUACGUGCCAGCAGCCGCGGUAAUACGUAGGGCGCAAGCGUUAUCCGGAAUUAUUGGGCGUAAAGAGCUCGUAGGCGGUUUGUCGCGUCUGCUGUGAAAUCCCGAGGCUCAACCUCGGGCCUGCAGUGGGUACGGGCAGACUAGAGUGCGGUAGGGGAGAUUGGAAUUCCUGGUGUAGCGGUGGAAUGCGCAGAUAUCAGGAGGAACACCGAUGGCGAAGGCAGAUCUCUGGGCCGUAACUGACGCUGAGGAGCGAAAGGGUGGGGAGCAAACAGGCUUAGAUACCCUGGGUAGUCCACCCCGUAAACGUUGGGAACUAGUUGUGGGGUCCAUUCCACGGAUUCCCGUGACGCAGCUAACGCAUUAAGUUCCCCGCCUGGGGAGUACGGCCGCAAGGCUAAAACUCAAAGGAAUUGACGGGGACCCGCACAAGCGGCGGAGCAUGCGGAUUAAUUCGAUGCAACGCGAAGAACCUUACCAAGGCUUGACAUAUACGAGAACGGGCCAGAAAUGGUCAACUCUUUGGACACUCGUAAACAGGUGGUGCAUGGUUGUCGUCAGCUCGUGUCGUGAGAUGUUGGGUUAAGUCCCGCAACGAGCGCAACCCUCGUUCUAUGUUGCCAGCACGUAAUGGUGGGAACUCAUGGGAUACUGCCGGGGUCAACUCGGAGGAAGGUGGGGAUGACGUCAAAUCAUCAUGCCCCUUAUGUCUUGGGCUUCACGCAUGCUACGGGCGGCGGUACAAAGGGCGCAAUCGCGUGAGGUGGAGCGAAUCCCAAAAAGCCGGUC